CACAGAGUUAGCCGGUGCUUCCUUUGAGAGUACCGUCACUUCCCAAGGCUGUUAACCUCAGGAGCAUUCGUUCCCUCCGACAGGGCUUUACGACCCGAAGGCCUUCAUCACCCACGCGGCGUUGCUGCAUCAGGCUUUCGCCCAUUGUGCAAUAUUCCCUA
RNAcentral lists this ribosomal RNA (161 nucleotides) under uncultured bacterium. RNAcentral's name for it is "partial 16S ribosomal RNA". The record is from RNAcentral.